UUCGCUCUUCAACGAGGAAUCCCUAGUAAGCACAAGUCAUCAGCUUGUGCUGAUUACGUCCCUGCCCUUUGUACACACCGCCCGUCGCUACUACCGAUUGAAUGGCUUAGUGAGGCCCUCGAAUUGAUUUUCUAAGACUGGCAACAGUCUUUGAUUGUUGAGAAGUUGGUCAAACUUGGUCAUUUAGAGGAAAUAAAAGUCGUAACAAGGUUUCCGUAGGUGAACCUGCGGAAGGAUCAUUAAUAAUUUGCCGAACCUAGCGUUAGCGAGGUUCUGCGAUCAUUUAUAUUUAAAACCAAACUCUUAAAUGUUAUUAUAUAAUUAUGUAUUUUUUUGAAUGAUAAAAAUUAAAAGAUCACUUUCAACAACGGAAUCUCUUCUUGAGCUUCUSGCAUCGAUGAAGAACGUAGMGAAGUGCGAUAAGUAWUGUGAAKUGCAGAAUUCCGUGAAUCAUCGAAUCUUUGAACGCAUAUUGCACUUUCUGGUAUUCCGGAAAGUAUGCCUGUUUGAGGGUCAGUUAAAUAAAAAAUCGGUGUUGUUGCUGCUUUUUUAGUGGUGAUGCAUCGGAAUUGAGUUGUCUUUACCUUUUGGUUAAAAGUGACUUAAAAUUAUGUACGAUUUUUUGAACGUAUUUGAAUUGUUUACGUAUGUUCAUAAUAUCAUAUAUUAGGUGCGAUUAUUCUUAUAAUUUCGCGUCUAUAAUUUUUCAUUAUUUGACCUCAAAUCAGGUAAGAGUACCCGCUGAACUUAAGCAUAUCAAUAAGCGGAGGAAAAGAAAAUAACAAUGAUUCCCUUAGUAACGGCGAGUGAAGGGGGAUAAGCUCAAAUUUUAAAUCUGCUAGGUCUUACCUAUCAGAGUUGUAAUUUGAAGAAGCGUUUUCCGCGUCUCGGUUGACCCAAAUCCUUUUGGGAUAAGGUAUCAUGGAGGGUGGAGAAUCCCGUUCGGUUGACCUUGUGACGCUUUACGAUACGUUUUCUAAGAGUCGAGUUGUUUGGGAUUGCAGCUCAAAAUGGGRRGUAAAUUUCUCCUAAGGCUAAAUAUUGGCGAGAGACCGAUAGCGAACAAGUACCGUGAGGGAWAGAUGAAAAGAACUUUGAAAAGAGAGUAAAAUAGUACGUGAMAUKGUUGAAAGGGAAACGAUUGAAGUCAGUCGUACCGACGGAAAAUCAGCYCYUUGAGUGCGGGAACCUUKUKGGCUUACGUGAGUUUUUUAACACCUCGCUGUUUGCAACGUUCGUGUUUUUUGGGUGUACUUUUUCGUAUGGUAGGCCAAUGUCAGUUUCGAUCGCUAUAAAAUGACCGGCGGAAUGUAGCUUCGAUCUCGUAUUGAAGUGUUAUAGCCUCUGGUAGAUGUGGUGAUUGGGACUGAGGAUUGCAACGAAUACCUUUUGGGCUAUCCGUCUGAUCUCUGAAGGUUGCUUAGGUGCCGAAAGCGUGCUUACGGUUAUUUAAGUUGACAGUCAAAAGGUUAGAACGUGAUUAUAUUCGUUAAGGAUGUUGGCGUAAUGGCUUUAAACGACCCGUCUUGAAACACGGACCAAGGAGUCUAACAUAUAUGCGAGUGUU
This 1567-nucleotide ribosomal RNA is filed under the name uncultured Glomus. Its description in RNAcentral is "eukaryotic LSU rRNA". The stretch from base 715 to 1567 matches the Rfam family "Eukaryotic large subunit ribosomal RNA", at positions 1 to 694 of the family's 3401-position model. Lineage: Eukaryota; Fungi; Glomeromycota; Glomeromycetes; Glomerales; Glomeraceae. The record is from RNAcentral.